AUUUCAUAUGCCGUAGGGAUUCUCAGCAGGUUCAUGGAAUCACCUGGCAAGGAGCACUGGAUUGCAGUGAAGCAACUCCUGUGCUACAUCAGAGGUACACUUGGCCUUGGGUGUUUCUUCAGAAAAGGAGAGAAAGAUGUGCUGACAGGCUACAGUGAUAGUGAUCACGCUGGUGAUCUCAAUGUUCGCAAGAGUACCACUGGAGUUGUUUUCUUCCUUGGGUCAGGUGUGAUCACUUGGACCUCGCAGAAACAGAAGAUCGUGGCCCUGUCGUCAUGCGAGGCAGAAUACAUAGCUGGAGCAACUGCCGCCACACAGGCCGUCUGGCUGAGUAGGCUCCUUGCAGAAAUGGUUGGCGAAGAGGUGCAGAAAGUGAAGCUGAAGAUCGACAACAAAUCGGCCAUUGAGCUCAGCAAGAACCCAGUCCAUCAUGAAAGGAGCAAACAUAUUGAUCUCAAGUAUCAUUAUAUACGG
Molecule: ribosomal RNA, 474 nt
Filed under: Triticum aestivum (bread wheat)
Lineage: Eukaryota; Viridiplantae; Streptophyta; Magnoliopsida; Poales; Poaceae
Description: partial small subunit ribosomal RNA
Source: RNAcentral